CAAGAAGCAUAGAGUGGAAAAAGAGAGACAUCAUGAAGCAAAUGUUAAGCACUGCGAUAUUAUUGAUCAAUUGCUUAAAGAGCUACAACGGGCCGAUAAGAUAAUUCCCAGACCAGAGCCAAGUUUAAAUCUCAUACCAGAGAGUACAACAGAUGAAAAUUGCUGCAGCAUUGAUCAAUUAUUACGUGAUUUGGAUGAAUCCAGGAAAAAUCUCUUAGCUAGAAAUAAACAUAGGCACUCUGAUAGUACUACUAGUGCUUAUAAGGCUAGUAGUAGUGCUGCUGUAGCAACUGAUGGUACAACUCGAGAAAAAUCUUGUGAUCCAACAGCGCAAGAAGUAGUUUCCUCUGAUGAUGAAAGACCAUAUGAUCCUAGCUUGGUCUGUCCUAAAUGUGGCCGGAAAUUUCGUGUGGGACAGGAAAAAAAAACAAAGACGACAUAUUAAUGAAUUCUGCACAAUGAAAUAACACUAUUUUUAUAAUUUUUUUAUUGGUAAAUCUCAUAUUAGUUGUUAUUGCA
Molecule: long non-coding RNA, 519 nt
Organism: Amphimedon queenslandica
Lineage: Eukaryota; Metazoa; Porifera; Demospongiae; Haplosclerida; Niphatidae
Exons: 2
Source: RefSeq, a predicted model, not a curated record